GCUACUGAGAAGACCAGACAGAGCAGAUGCAGGAAGACAGGGGUAAUGUCUCCAGAGCAGAGGAAAGCACGAGUGAUCUGACCUCUCCUGUGAGCUGCCGUCAAUACGGAAGACACAAGUACACUGAGCAUCUUAAAGCUUAGAAAGAAGACAAAAGCAAGUUAGAAUAAAAAAAAAAUCUCAUCUGAAGAAGCUCUGCUGCCGGACGUCUCAGCCUUCACUAUGGGCAACAACAGGUUCAGAAGAACAGCAAUGUAGAAAUGGAGGCCUGCACACCUCCAGAUUAGGACUGCAAUCUAACCAUGUUGCGGAUAACAUCCAACCUCACUUGGUAUCCUCACAGGGAACUCUUCAGUAAGGAGAAUGAGGCUCAGAGAGAUGAGAUGCCUCAGAACUGGGCAGCGACCCAAGCCUGACUUCUUGAAUUCAUGAGAUGGCACAGGCAUCAUUGUUAUCCCCAGACAUUACAGAGUCAGAGUGUGUAAAUGGUGGCACUGCUGUGUGCUGGGCCUGUGAUGACCUCAUUGGAAUUCUUCUUUCAAACACCUCUUGCCUCAACUUUGGACUGUGAUUCAUGGUGGGAACUUAAUUUCUAGAUGUUUGUGUUUAAUUAAUAGGUUACCUGUGUAAAAACUACUAUCAUUGGUCACUGACAGUGCUAGCCCAUAGCUAUAUAUCCAGGUCCCUCUUGGCCUCUCGGACAUGUAUAGUUCUUUGAGGAUACAGGGCUGUUCCUUGGAUAGUAGCAAGCCUAAAGUGUGGAAGUUUCAAGUGCUAUGCCUAUGAAGCACGAGGAAGAGCUCUAGGAUGAUGGGAAUAGGACCGACAUGCAGGGUGGAAUCCUGUCCCAUGUACACAAUGGGCUCUGAUGAGAUGCAGAGCCAAAAUGGAUCCACUGCAUGUGCGCCAGGACAUGGGUCACCUGGUGACACCACACUGCCUUGCUAAAAGGCCCUCCUGCCUUUGUCAUGUGUUCUCAAAACCACCUCUGGUCUUUAGAAAAGGCCAACAAUAUGGGUGACCUGAUCAGUACAUGGUCAGGAUAUACACCCUUAACCAGUACAGACUCAAAUCCUUGACAGAUACCUGAAAGACACAGCUGACUGGUUCUGCCAGCUACUCUGGAAUUCUGGACAAGCUGUUUUCUAGAACUGAAGUGAUGAAAGCUUGGGCUAUAACAUAAUUCUGCCUUUGAUUUUCGAGUUAAUGCGUUCUUAUGUAAAGGCAGUCAGUUCUGUUUGGCUGCCUGAGAUGCUGGAGUUUUCUGAGAAUCCAUGAGUGAGGCCUGCCUGGUGCUACACAUACCCCAGUAUCAACAUUCAUAUGAGUGAAAACAAUCUGACUCAGAGCUCUAGAAUGUCCCCUAACCUGGGGAGGACUAGAAGGACCCAGAGGAAGAACCCCAUGGACCCUCUAGUUACCCCAUAGUCCUCAUUAUAAUCAGUUCUAGUUACUUUAGCCCUGAGGAAGAGAAAAAAAAGUCCCUAGAAUCAUAGCUGAAAAUGGCAACCAUCAAAGCAAUAGUAGGUUCAUCUUCCUUGCCGAAGUUACUCUGGUAUGUGCUCAAUGGAAACUGCAAUGCACUUUUCAAUUUUAAAGUUGGGCAUCACCCAUCAUGUGCACAAGCAGCCUGGACCACUUCAUACUCACAUACCCACAGCCUGGACCACUUCACACUCACAUACCCACAGCCUGGACCACUUCACACUCACAUACCCACUGCCUGGACCACUUCACACUCACAUACCCACAGCCUGGACCACUUCACACUCACAUACCCACUGCCUGGACCACUGCCUGGACCACUUCACACUCACAU
This is a long non-coding RNA of Mus caroli (Ryukyu mouse), 1819 nucleotides long. RefSeq lists it as uncharacterized. Lineage: Eukaryota; Metazoa; Chordata; Mammalia; Rodentia; Muridae. The record is from RefSeq and is a predicted model, not a curated record.